RNAcentral lists this long non-coding RNA (558 nucleotides) under Calidris pugnax (ruff). RNAcentral describes it as "lncRNA (ENSCPUG00000016781.1)". The record is from RNAcentral. Lineage: Eukaryota; Metazoa; Chordata; Aves; Charadriiformes; Scolopacidae.
UUUAAAUUAUUUUUUUUUCUCCCGUGUUUCAACCCAAAUAAACACAAAUAUUCAUUUUUUUCUCUUUGCAGCCAAACUCGCGGCGGAAAUCCGUAGACUCACUGCGCUGCUUGGGGAUCGAGACUCGCGGCUCCGUAAGUGGCGUUUCCCUCCUGACGCGUAAAAUUGGGCUGGAAGGUGGAGAAUUUGACAUUUUACAACCCCUCAUAUCACUCCGAAGUGGAUUUAUUGCCCAAAUCAGUGGGUUUUCUCCCUAGAAUAGAGCAGAAUAUUUUGCCAUUAUUAAAAAAAGAAAUUGCAUUUUGCCAUUAUAUUAAAAAAAAAAUCCUUUUUCCCGUUACAUACAAAUAUUUUCCCCUUUUUUAGGAAAACUGACUGCAGAACUCACAAAAUGCGACGCCACAAUCAGUAAGUGCCGUUUCCUCCUCGUCCACCAGGUUUUAACGAGGUUUCAGCAUCAAAAUUCUAAUUUAUAUUCUCAAAUUAAUUUUCUUUUCUGGUUUAAGGAAUAUUUACGGUGGAGCUUGGUGAGUUCAUUUCCUUCCUUUGGCAUUUUUU